This is a long non-coding RNA of Asterias rubens (European starfish), 288 nucleotides long. RefSeq lists it as uncharacterized. The transcript has 4 exons. The record is from RefSeq and is a predicted model, not a curated record. NCBI's taxonomy places the organism in Eukaryota, Metazoa, Echinodermata, Asteroidea, Forcipulatida, Asteriidae.
AACGAUUCUUUAUGAGAUUGAGAGAGAAGUGAGAAUCAAGGCAUCUUGCGGCGAACUCAAGAACUCGGAAAGAAGAAACACCCAUUCCCCACAGCCAGGGCGAAAUGAGGUGCAGAUCCGAUCCGAUGUCCACUUCUUUGUCCAUGGCAAGAUCGGACGGUUUGUGGUCAAUGCCCCCAUGAUUCUUGGCCAUUGAAUCUUCAGGUGUUGUUUCUGCACUUGGGGAUGGUGUGACCAGCCUCAAAGUGGGCUACAACAUUUCAGACAGAAAAUAUAACAAAAAGAGGG